RNAcentral lists this ribosomal RNA (492 nucleotides) under uncultured bacterium. Its description in RNAcentral is "partial 16S ribosomal RNA". It matches the Rfam family "Bacterial small subunit ribosomal RNA", at positions 29 to 507 of the family's 1533-position model. The record is from RNAcentral.
AGUGAACGCUGGCGGUAGGCCUAACACAUGCAAGUCGAACGGCAGCACAGUAAGAGCUUGCUCUUACGGGUGGCGAGUGGCGGACGGGUGAGGAAUACAUCGGAAUCUACUUUUUCGUGGGGGGUAACGUAGGGAAACUUACGCUAAUACCGCAUACGACCUACGGGUGAAAGCAGGGGAUCUCCGGACCUUGCGCGAUUGAAUGAGCCGAUGUCGGAUUAGCUAGUUGGCGGGGUAAAGGCCCACCAAGGCGACGAUCCGUAGCUGGUCUGAGAGGAUGAUCAGCCACACUGGAACUGAGACACGGUCCAGACUCCUACGGGAGGCAGCAGUGGGGAAUAUUGGACAAUGGGCGCAAGCCUGAUCCAGCCAUACCGCGUGGGUGAAGAAGGCCUCCGGGUUGUAAAGCCCUUUUGUUGGGAAAGAAAAGCAGCAGGUUAAUACCCCGCUGUUCUGACGGUACCCAAAGAAUAAGCACCGGCUAACUUCGUG